Schistocerca gregaria is the source of this 612-nucleotide long non-coding RNA. RefSeq lists it as uncharacterized. The record is from RefSeq and is a predicted model, not a curated record. The transcript has 2 exons. Lineage: Eukaryota; Metazoa; Arthropoda; Insecta; Orthoptera; Acrididae.
CGUCACGUACAACUGUACCUGCAUACCCCUUUGCGUGCUCUGCAACUCACCCGAAAUAUUCCAAAUGGAUCAGUCGUUACUGGUUUUAACUUUGGCUGUUCUGACAACCUCUAUAGCUACGUAUGCACUGCCACUGGAACCUGCUUCUGAGGAGCUCGCAACUGCGGAGGUCACCACGGAAAGCACGUUACAGGUCGAAGGGGUGAUGAUGACUACUCUGACGCCACCUGCUCAGCUGGAGUUAAUUCUGGUCGCGGAGAAGUUUGACCUGGACACCGCUGCCAGCUGUAUGAUAUUUCGACCAUAUUUCAGAAACAGCCGCCGAAGUCGUGGCCGAAGAGCGUUCUUCUUCUAGGCGAUGAGAACGUUCUGCUGUUUGUCUGUUUGCAUUUACAUGGAAUUGGCUUCACUCAUGUAAAAUGUGAAGUUCUUUUCCUGUAUCCAGUUGAUAACUGGAAUUCAAGACAUCUGCAUCAAAUCGUAUCCUCUCAUCACAUUGUAUAUAUAUCAUAAUUUUAUAUUUAUUUAUUCUUUGUUUCAUACAAACAGACAUUCAUUUCCACAAUCUCAUUCCUUUUUCGUACUUUUGAAAUAAAGCAAUGUUUUUAAAUA